GACGAACGCUGGCGGCGUGCUUAACACAUGCCAGUCGAACGGAAAGGCCCUGCUUUUGUGGGGUGCUCGAGUGGCGAACGGGUGAGUAACACGUGAGUAACCUGCCAUUGACUUUGGGAUAACUUCAGGAAACUGGGGCUAAUACCGGAUAGGAGCUCCUGCUGCAUGGUGGGGGUUGGAAAGUUUCGGCGGUUGGGGAUGGACUCGCGGCUUAUCAGCUUGUUGGUGGGGUAGUGGCUUACCAAGGCUUUGACGGGUAGCCGGCCUGAGAGGGUGACCGGCCACAUUGGGACUGAGAUACGGCCCAGACUCCUACGGGAGGCAGCAGUGGGGAAUAUUGCACAAUGGGCGGAAGCCUGAUGCAGCAACGCCGCGUGCGGGAUGACGGCCUUCGGGUUGUAAACCGCUUUCGCCUGUGACGAAGCGUGAGUGACGGUAAUGGGUAAAGAAGCACCGGCUAACUACGUG
RNAcentral lists this ribosomal RNA (468 nucleotides) under uncultured bacterium. RNAcentral describes it as "partial 16S ribosomal RNA". It matches the Rfam family "Bacterial small subunit ribosomal RNA", at positions 28 to 507 of the family's 1533-position model. The record is from RNAcentral.